AAUUCUAGAGCUAAUACAUGCAGGAGUUCCCGACUCGGAAGGGAUGUAUUUAUUAGAUAAGAAACCAAACCGGUCUCCGGUUGCGUGCUGAGUCAUACUAACUGCUCGAACCGCACGGCUUUACGCUGGCGAUGGUUCAUUCAAAUUUCUGCCCUAUCAACUUUCGAUGGUAGGAUAGUGGCCUACCAUGGCGUUAACGGGUAACGGAGAAUUA
RNAcentral lists this ribosomal RNA (214 nucleotides) under uncultured Isochrysis. RNAcentral's name for it is "partial Eukaryotic small subunit ribosomal RNA". It matches the Rfam family "Eukaryotic small subunit ribosomal RNA", at positions 154 to 372 of the family's 1831-position model. Lineage: Eukaryota; Haptophyta; Isochrysidales. The record is from RNAcentral.